GAUGAACGCCGCGGCGUGCUUAACACAUGCAAGUCGAACGAAGCUGCUAAAAGGAAGUUUUCGGAUGGAAUUUUGGUAGACUUAGUGGCGGACGGGUGAGUAACGCGUGGAUAACCUGCCUUAUACAGGGGGAUAACGGAGAGAAAUUUCCGCUAAGACCGCAUAAGACCACAGCACCGCAUGGUGCAGGGGUAAAAUAUUUAUAGGUAUAAGAUGGAUCCGCGUCCGAUUAGCUAGUUGGUGAGGUAGAGGCUCACCAAGGCGACGAUCGGUAGCCGGCCUGAGAGGGUGAACGGCCACAUUGGGACUGAGACACGGCCCAAACUCCUACGGGAGGCAGCAGUGGGGAAUAUUGGACAAUGGGGGAAACCCUGAUCCAGCGACGCCGCGUGAGUGAAGAAGUAUUUCGGUAUGUAAAGCUCUAUCAGCAGGGAAGAAAGUGACGGUACCUGACUAAGAAGCCCCGGCUAACUACGUGCCAGCAGCCGCGGUAAUACGUAGGGGGCAAGCGUUAUCCGGAUUUACUGGGUGUAAAGGGAGCGCAGACGGCGAAGCAAGUCUGAAGUGAAAUGCAUGGGCUCAACCCAUGAAUUGCUUUGGAAACUGUUUGGCUUGAGUGUCGGAGGGGUAAGCGGAAUUCCUAGUGUAGCGGUGAAAUGCGUAGAUAUUAGGAGGAACACCGGAGGCGAAGGCGGCUUACUGGACGACAACUGACGUUGAGGCUCGAAGGCGUGGGGAGCAAACAGG
RNAcentral lists this ribosomal RNA (747 nucleotides) under uncultured Lachnospiraceae bacterium. RNAcentral's name for it is "bacterial SSU rRNA". It matches the Rfam family "Bacterial small subunit ribosomal RNA", at positions 28 to 776 of the family's 1533-position model. Lineage: Bacteria; Bacillati; Bacillota; Clostridia; Lachnospirales; Lachnospiraceae. The record is from RNAcentral.